This 426-nucleotide ribosomal RNA is filed under the name Triticum aestivum (bread wheat). RNAcentral's name for it is "partial small subunit ribosomal RNA". Lineage: Eukaryota; Viridiplantae; Streptophyta; Magnoliopsida; Poales; Poaceae. The record is from RNAcentral.
AUGCUCUGUAUAAUACUUUUCCCCGAGCGAUGGUUUAGCGGAUUCGGAAUUGUAACCAAGCAUCCUGGGUUCUAUACCCGAUUCAACACUAGAGGAUGCAGCCGAUCCUGGAUACAUAACUAUAAAAAGUGUGUGUGCAGUUUUGGAUCUUUAUUGGCAGCCAGUCUUUCACUUCUGCCUCUCCACUCCCAUGCCUUUCUUGGUCGGACCAACCCAACCGGCGAUUUCCGACAAGUCUUUCUGCUUAGAGCAAGAAGCGGAACCAAAAUAAAGCUUUCUUUAUUUUCAUUUAUGGAUAACCAAUCCAUUUUCCAAUAUAGCUGGGAGAUUUUACCUAAGAAAUGGGUACAUAAAAUGAAAGAUCGGAACAUGGGAAUAGAUCUUAUACCAAUACUGACUACCCAUUUCCAUUGUUGUGCUUUCUAA